AACACAAUUGUUGGGUCAUAUGGUAAGAAUAUGUUUAGAUUUGUAAUAAAUUGUCAAACUGUCUUCCAAAGUAGCUGUACCAUUUUGUGCUUUCACUAGCAAU
RNAcentral lists this microRNA precursor (103 nucleotides) under Marmota monax (woodchuck). Lineage: Eukaryota; Metazoa; Chordata; Mammalia; Rodentia; Sciuridae. The record is from RNAcentral.